UACAGAGGUAGCGAACGUUGUCCGGAUUUACUGGGCGUAAAGGGCUUGUAGGUGGCCAAAUAAGUCAGUUGUGAAAUCGUUCUGCUCAACAGAACAAUUGCUUCUGAUACUGCUUGGCUUGAGUGCAGGAAGGGAAAAUGGAAUUUCCGGUGUAGCGGUGAAAUGCGUAGAUAUCGGAAAGAACACCUGUGGCGAAGGCGGUUUUCUGGCCUGCAACUGACACUGAGGAGCGAAAGCUAGGGGAGCAAACAGGAUUAGAUACC
This 263-nucleotide ribosomal RNA is filed under the name uncultured bacterium. RNAcentral describes it as "partial 16S ribosomal RNA". It matches the Rfam family "Bacterial small subunit ribosomal RNA", at positions 524 to 786 of the family's 1533-position model. The record is from RNAcentral.